Molecule: ribosomal RNA, 253 nt
Filed under: uncultured bacterium
Lineage: Bacteria
Description: partial 16S ribosomal RNA
Rfam family: Bacterial small subunit ribosomal RNA
Source: RNAcentral
UACGAAGGGGGCUAGCGUUGCUCGGAAUUACUGGGCGUAAAGGGAGCGUAGGCGGCUAGUUUAGUCAGAGGUGAAAGCCCAGGGCUCAACCCUGGAAUAGCCUUUGAUACUGGCUGUCUUGAGUAUGGGAGAGGUAAGCGGAACUCCGAGUGUAGAGGUGAAAUUCGUAGAUAUUCGGAAGAACACCAGUGGCGAAGGCGGCUUACUGGCCCAUUACUGACGCUGAGGCUCGAAAGCGUGGGGAGCAAACAGG